UUACACAUGCAAGUCGAACGGCAGCACGGGAGCAAUCCUGGUGGCGAGUGGCGAACGGGUGAGUAAUAUAUCGGAACGUGCCCAGUCGUGGGGGAUAACGYAGAGAAAUUUACGCUAAUACCGCAUACGAUCUMWGGAUGAAAGCGGGGGAUC
Molecule: ribosomal RNA, 153 nt
Filed under: uncultured bacterium
Lineage: Bacteria
Description: partial 16S ribosomal RNA
Rfam family: Bacterial small subunit ribosomal RNA
Source: RNAcentral